GAUGAACGCUGGCGGCGUGCCUAAUACAUGCAAGUCGAACGGACAGACCCUGAGCUUGCUCCUCUCACGUUAGCGGCGGGCGGGUGAGUAACGCGUGGAUCACCUCCCUGUCUUACGGGGAUAACUUCGGAAAACCGGAUCUAAUAGCAGAUGAUAUAUUGAACCGCAGGGUUCAAUGGUAAGAGACGGUUUUGCGGGCACGUAUAGAUGGAUCCGCGCCGGAUGAGCUAGUUGGUAAGGUAACGGCCUACCAAGGCAACGAUGCGUAGCCGACCUGAGAGGGUGAUCGGCCACAUGGGAACUGAGACACGGUCAAGACGCCUACGGGAGGCAGCAGUAGGGAAUGGUCCGCAAUGGGCGAAAGCCUGACGGAGCAACGCCGAGUGAGUGAUGAAGGUCUUCGGAUCGUAAAACCCUGUUAUUAGGGAAGAACAAAUGUGGAAGGAAACAUGGACGUCUUGACGGUACCGAAUCAGAAAGCAACGGCUAACUACGUG
Molecule: ribosomal RNA, 497 nt
Filed under: uncultured bacterium
Lineage: Bacteria
Description: partial 16S ribosomal RNA
Rfam family: Bacterial small subunit ribosomal RNA
Source: RNAcentral